GACGAACGCUGGCGGCGUGCUUAACACAUGCAAGUCGAACGGUGAAAGCGGAGCUUGCUCCGCUGGAUCAGUGGCGAACGGGUGAGUAACACGUGGGCAACCUGCCCCUCACUUCGGGAUAACUCCGGGAAACCGGGGCUAAUACCGGAUAUGACCUCCUUGGGCAUCCUUGGAGGUGGAAAGUUUUUCGGUGAGGGAUGGGCCCGCGGCCUAUCAGCUUGUUGGUGAGGUAGUGGCUCACCAAGGCGACGACGAGUAGCCGGCCUGAGAGGGCGACCGGCCGCACUGGGACUGAGACACGGCCCAGACUCCUACGGGAGGCAGCAGUGGGGAAUAUUGCGCAAUGGGCGAAAGCCUGACGCAGCAACGCCGCGUGCGGGAUGACGGCCUUCGGGUUGUAAACCGCUUUCAGCAGGGAAGAAGCCGCAAGGUGACGGUACCUGCAGAAGAAGCACCGGCUAACUACGUGCCAGCAGCCGCCGUAA
Molecule: ribosomal RNA, 485 nt
Filed under: uncultured bacterium
Lineage: Bacteria
Description: partial 16S ribosomal RNA
Rfam family: Bacterial small subunit ribosomal RNA
Source: RNAcentral